RNAcentral lists this non-coding RNA (29 nucleotides) under Mus musculus (house mouse). The record is from RNAcentral. Lineage: Eukaryota; Metazoa; Chordata; Mammalia; Rodentia; Muridae.
UGACAUCACGUGAUCUACCCUGAAGCAAU